UUUUGUUUAUGAUAGGUAAAAGGAAAAAGAUCUUUUACUGACUUUUAGUGUUUUUGUUUAUGAUAGGUAAAAGGAAAAAGAUCCAAGGAAAAAGAGUUGAUAUACCAGAAGCGAUCGACGAUAACCGGCCAUUUUCGGUCGACAGGGCAUCACGAGUAUCGAUCGAUCGCCGCUCACCAUCAGUGAUCAGGUAUAACGUUUCACCUUGUUAAAUAUUGUCCUCAUGGUUUAUUUCCCUACCAUCUUAGAAUCUAUAACACUGGUCAAAGCGUUGUUAAAGUGUGGGGGAGGUUCUACUAAUAUUUUGUGUUAUAGUUAGCUAUUUAAAAAAAAAAAUCCGAGUAGACGAUUCCUUAGCAUAUCGACCGAUGAGACCAGUUCGAUAUCAAUCGACAGCAGUUCAGAUCCAACAAUCGAUUGUCUCUUCAUUGUGUCGAAUUAUUGCUCUAGCCAUCGACUGAUGAGACCAUGUCGCUAUCAGUCGACAACACUUAAUCAACAACGAUCGAUUGUCACUUCAUUGUGUCGAUCGACACUGAGCAGGUCAUCGUUCUUACUUGAUAAAUUAUGUACUUAUGAUUAUUUUUCACCAUAACUCCGACUAGAUAUAUACUAGGGACAGUGUACUUUAAGUCUGGGGGGAUGUUUACUAAUAUUAGUGUGUUCAUGAGUCUUAUAAAAAUGUCUUCAGAAGAGUUUUGUUGAGUCAAGAAGGGGAUAAUGAACUUAUUUGAUUUUUGCAUAUUAUCUAACCACUCUUUAGCAGCAUUCUAGAUUUACUAAUUGCAGAUAGUACUAAAGAUACUAAAGUGGAUCAAUCUGUCAACUAUUCACACUUCCUGAGAUUGUUUGAAGGAAUCAGAGCUGACCUCCAACACUAAACCUGAC
RNAcentral lists this long non-coding RNA (888 nucleotides) under Brassica napus (rape). RNAcentral's name for it is "long non-coding RNA (BNAP_LNC023347)". The record is from RNAcentral. Lineage: Eukaryota; Viridiplantae; Streptophyta; Magnoliopsida; Brassicales; Brassicaceae.